UUCUUUUAGUCCUCCAUGGGUGAUUGAUGAGAGAGAUCUUCAGGAGUUCCCGUAAUCUGUCCACAGUCUAAAGCUCCUUCUGAACUUAAGAAUUUCAGAAAAUUCAACAGAAGUUUACAGUAAUAUGCUAGUGCUGACAGCAGGGCUGAGUAUCUGUAUUCUAAGCUGACAUCAUGUCAAGCAGAUAAACAAGACACGUCGUCAUCAUAGCAUUUUGGGAGGCAGAGAGGAAGCAUCCUUGUAAUACAACAUCCAAUGGCUAGACCAUUUUUCCAAAGCAGGUUUUUCUGAAUUUGGAAGGGAAUACAGAAGUGUCCAGCUCUGAAGCCUCAGUUGCACUGCGACUGAAUAGAUUGACGUUUUCACCUCCCUCCUUUGCUGGGUGUUCUUCUUUUUUUU
Hirundo rustica (Barn swallow) is the source of this 399-nucleotide long non-coding RNA. RefSeq lists it as uncharacterized. The record is from RefSeq and is a predicted model, not a curated record. The transcript is spliced from 3 exons. Lineage: Eukaryota; Metazoa; Chordata; Aves; Passeriformes; Hirundinidae.